This 1316-nucleotide long non-coding RNA is filed under the name Homo sapiens (human). RNAcentral describes it as "HSALNT0373042". Lineage: Eukaryota; Metazoa; Chordata; Mammalia; Primates; Hominidae. The record is from RNAcentral.
GUCAGGUGAGACACAGAGGAGGCCACUUAAUGAAGCACACGAAACAACAGAAGCUGUGGAUGUCUUACCGGUCAGAAUGAAGAGGGCAGCACGUCUUUCAGGGCCAAGGGGAAGAAGGGGGCUGCCCUUGCCUGAUGGAUGGGGAGCAGGAGAGGGAGAGGCCUGUAGGCUGAAGCUUUUUUGUUUGUUUGUUUGUUUUUUUUGAGACGGAGUCUCAUACUCUGGCCCAGGCUGGAAUGCAGUGGAGCGAUCUCGGCUCACUGCAAGCUCCGCCUCUCGGGUUCACGCCAUUCUCCUGCCUCAGUUUCCCGAGUAGCUGGGACUACAGGCGCCCGCCACCAUGCCUGGCUAAUUUUUUGUGUUUUUAGUAGAGACGGGGUUUCACCGUGUUAGCAGGAUGGUCUGGAUCUCCUGACCUCGUGAUCCGCCUGCCUCGGCCUCCUAAAGUGCUGGGGUUACAGGCGUGAGCCACCGCGCCCGGGUGGCUGAAGCUUUUAUUGCGGUUCAGGGUAUUACCCAAGCAGGUUUUCCACAGGGAGUUCUAAUUGCCUGGUGUACAGCAAGUGACCACGAGCUCUGUGGAGUCACUGCAGCAAAUCUUCCCAGUCCGUGCAGGAUGCGGGGGUCAGUGGGAGAGUCAAGCAGGCUGUGUCCAGCUGUCCCGGAGGGAGGUGGCCCCUGGGAGCCGAAGGGAGAAAGGAGAUAACUGGAUUGACCACACUGAAGACCUGGGAGGAGGCAGAGAGCUGGAAACUGUGUCAAGGGUGAUUAAGCCCUGCUUCUGGUACAAGAAAGUUAAACCUAGAUUUAAAAUGGAUGCCGAGGAAACAUCAAAUGUAUUUAAUGAAUGCCCACCAUUGAUGAGGCACUAUGCUAGAUGCAGAGGACACAGUAGUGAACAAGAUGUGUUUUCUAUUCUCCGGGGACUGACAGUACACAGAUGUAGACAGGCAAGUAAAUAGUAGGGCAUAAUGUGAUCGGAGUUGAGAUGCCAUAGGAGUGCCCCCUAUCUGAUUGAGAAGUCAGGUAAGCCUUUCCAGGGCUGAUGUCGCCACUGACUCCUAAAGAAUGAUCAAGAACCAGUAAAGUCACGUGCGGUCUAACGAGGCAUCCCAAGCAGCAGGAACAACAGCAUGUGCAAAGUCCCAGAGGCAAGAACGACAGUGGACACUGCAAUCCUACCAUCUAAUCUCCUCGAAUCCUUGAUGCACUAAGAAAGAGUGAAAAUAAAUUAAACAACUUUCCCCCACUACAUCUUUGGUUCUUUUUGAGUUUUUCUCUGUUUCUCAGAAGCCGCAGGUGGAGCCCAGAAUGAU